GAUGAACGCUGGCGGCGUGCCUAAUACAUGCAAGUCGAGCGAACAGACGAGGAGCUUGCUCCUCUGACGUUAGCGGCGGACGGGUGAGUAACACGUGGAUAACCUACCUAUAAGACUGGGAUAACUUCGGGAAACCGGAGCUAAUACCGGAUAAUAUAUUGAACCGCAUGGUUCAAUAGUGAAAGACGGUUUUGCUGUCACUUAUAGAUGGAUCCGCGCCGCAUUAGCUAGUUGGUAAGUUAACGGCUUACCAAGGCAACGAUGCGUAGCCGACCUGAGAGGGUGUAGGCCCCCUCUGAACGUGAGCCGCGUCCAAGCCUCCUCGGGGAGGCCCAGGUUGGAAUUCUCCGCAACGGGGGGAAAGCUUGCCGAAGCACCGCGGCGUGGGUGAUGAAGGUCUUCGGGCGGUAAAACUCUCUUAUUGGGGAAAACCAAAUUUGUAGGUAACUAUGCCGGUCUGACGGUAACCUAUUCAGAAGGCCCGGCUAACUUCGUG
RNAcentral lists this ribosomal RNA (496 nucleotides) under uncultured bacterium. RNAcentral describes it as "partial 16S ribosomal RNA". It matches the Rfam family "Bacterial small subunit ribosomal RNA", at positions 28 to 507 of the family's 1533-position model. The record is from RNAcentral.